Long non-coding RNA from Grammomys surdaster, 280 nucleotides. RefSeq lists it as uncharacterized. The record is from RefSeq and is a predicted model, not a curated record. NCBI's taxonomy places the organism in Eukaryota, Metazoa, Chordata, Mammalia, Rodentia, Muridae. The transcript has 2 exons.
GCCUGGCCCAGGCAGUUUCUAUCUUCUUGUUUCCCAUACUCCUUUUCUCUCAUCUUUCCCUGAGGAUUGAAACUAAAGGCCUAAAGUAAGCUAGAUCAAGAUGAAGAGUCCUCAGCUCCUUCUCCAGCUCCCGGUCGGAUUGUGCUACACCAUGCUUCUCGCCAUGACAAUGAUGGAUAAAACGUCUGAACUGUGAGCCAGCCUCAAUGACAUGUUUUCCUUUAUAAGAGUUGCGGUGGCCAUGGUGUCUCUUCAUAGCAAUAAAACCCUAACUAAGACA